Molecule: ribosomal RNA, 497 nt
Filed under: uncultured bacterium
Lineage: Bacteria
Description: partial 16S ribosomal RNA
Rfam family: Bacterial small subunit ribosomal RNA
Source: RNAcentral
GAUGAACGCUGGCGGCGUGCCUAAUACAUGCAAGUCGAGCGAACAGACGAGGAGCUUGCUCCUCUGACGUUAGCGGCGGACGGGUGAGUAACACGUGGAUAACCUACCUAUAAGACUGGGAUAACUUCGGGAAACCGGAGCUAAUACCGGAUAAUAUAUUGAACCGCAUGGUUCAAUAGUGAAAGACGGUUUUGCUGUCACUUAUAGAUGGAUCCGCGCCGCAUUAGCUAGUUGGUAAGGUAACGGCUUACCAAGGCAACGAUGCGUAGCCGACCUGAGAGGGUGAUCGGCCACACUGGAACUGAGACACGGUCCAGACUCCUACGGGAGGCAGCAGUAGGGAAUCUGCCGCAAUGGGCGAAAGCCCGACGGAGCAACGCCGCGUGAGUGAUGAAGGUCUUCGGAUCGUAAAACUCUGUUAUUAGGGAAGAACAAAUGUGUAAGUAACUAUGCACGUCUUGACGGUACCUAAUCAGAAAGCCACGGCUAACUACGUG